Long non-coding RNA from Phyllostomus discolor (pale spear-nosed bat), 355 nucleotides. RefSeq lists it as uncharacterized. Lineage: Eukaryota; Metazoa; Chordata; Mammalia; Chiroptera; Phyllostomidae. The record is from RefSeq and is a predicted model, not a curated record. The transcript is spliced from 2 exons.
UGCUGACUGCAGCUUUCCAUCUGCACUAGCCCAGUUCAGGAGAGGAGUGCUGGGGACUCAUAUCCUAAACCUCAAUGAAGGAACUCCCUUCACACAAAAGCUAGCUUUUUUUCCAUCAGUAAGCUCUGAGCUCCUUAAAGAGAGAGGUCUGGUCUGUUUAUUCUCCGUGCCUGGUAUGGAACCUGACACACACACACAAAAGACUCUCAAUAAAUGUUUAUGGAACUGGGAAACAUCUUUGUGGGGGGGAUUGGGGGAAGUCUUUGGCUAAAGGGAGUUGAAGCAUCACUCAUGGGCAGCUCCUAUCCUGAUGCUGGCCCUUGUUCUGUGAGAGUCAGCAAGCAGUGUUAUAGAG